Molecule: ribosomal RNA, 497 nt
Filed under: uncultured bacterium
Lineage: Bacteria
Description: partial 16S ribosomal RNA
Rfam family: Bacterial small subunit ribosomal RNA
Source: RNAcentral
GAUGAACGCUGGCGGCGUGCCUAAUACAUGCAAGUCGAGCGAACAGACGAGGAGCUUGCUCCUCUGACGUUAGCGGCGGACGGGUGAGUAACACGUGGAUAACCUACCUAUAAGACUGGGAUAACUUCGGGAAACCGGAGCUAAUACCGGAUAAUAUAUUGAACCGCAUGGUUCAAUAGUGAAAGACGGUUUUGCUGUCACUUAUAGAUAGAUCCGCGCCGCAUUAGCUAGUUGGUAAGGUAACGGCUUACCAAGGCAACGAUGCGUAGCCGACCUGAGAGGGUGAUCGGCCACACUGGAGCUGAGACACGGUCCAGACUCCUACGGGAGGCAGCAGUAGGGAAUCUUCCGCAAUGGGCGAAAGCCUGACGGAGCAACGCCGCGUGAGUGAUGAAGGUCUUCGGAUCGUAAAACUCUGUUAUUAGGGAAGAACAAAUGUGUAAGUAACUAUGCACGUCUUGACGGUACCUAAUCAGAAAGCCACGGCUAACUACGUG